RNAcentral lists this transfer RNA (76 nucleotides) under uncultured organism. RNAcentral describes it as "tRNA-Glu". It matches the Rfam family "tRNA". Rfam says of the family: Transfer RNA (tRNA) molecules are approximately 80 nucleotides in length. Their secondary structure includes four short double-helical elements and three loops (D, anti-codon, and T loops). The record is from RNAcentral.
GCCCUCUUCGUCUAGGGGUCUAGGAUACCAGGUUUUCAUCCUGGCGACAGGGGUUCGAAUCCCCUAGAGGGUACCA